UUCUGCAUUAUCAAAAAGCGGAGGAAAAGAAACCAACAGGGAUUGCCUUAGUAGCGGCGAGUGAAGCGGCAAAAGCUCAAAUUUGAAAUCUGGCUCUUUCAGAGUCCGAGUUGUAAUUUGAAGAAGGUAUCUUUGGGUCUGGCUCUUGUCUAUGUUUCUUGGAACAGAACGUCACAGAGGGUGAGAAUCCCGUGCGAUGAGAUGAUCCAGGCCUAUGUAAAGUUCCUUCGAAGAGUCGAGUUGUUUGGGAAUGCAGCUCUAAGUGGGUGGUAAAUUCCAUCUAAAGCUAAAUAUUGGCGAGAGACCGAUAGCGAACAAGUACAGUGAUGGAAAGAUGAAAAGAACUUUGAAAAGAGAGUGAAAAAGUACGUGAAAUUGUUGAAAGGGAAGGGCUUGAGAUCAGACUUGGUAUUUUGUAUGUUACUUCUUCGGGGGUGGCCUCUACAGUUUAUCGGGCCAGCAUCAGUUUGGGCGGUAGGAGAAUUGCGUUGGAAUGUGGCACGGCUUCGGUUGUGUGUUAUAGCCUUCGUCGAUACUGCCAGCCUAGACUGAGGACUGCGGUUUAUACCUAGGAUGUUGGCAUAAUGAUCUUAAGUCGCCCGUCUUGAACACGGAACCAGAAAGU
RNAcentral lists this ribosomal RNA (625 nucleotides) under Candida tropicalis. Its description in RNAcentral is "eukaryotic LSU rRNA". It matches the Rfam family "Eukaryotic large subunit ribosomal RNA", at positions 34 to 675 of the family's 3401-position model. Lineage: Eukaryota; Fungi; Ascomycota; Pichiomycetes; Serinales; Debaryomycetaceae. The record is from RNAcentral.